UGGGGAAUAUUGCACAAUGGGCGCAAGCCUGAUGCAGCCAUGCCGCGUGUAUGAAGAAGGCCUUCGGGUUGUAAAGUACUUUCAGUCGGGAGGAAGGUGGUAAGGUUAAUAACCUUAUCAAUUGACGUUACCGACAGAAGAAGCACCGGCUAACUCCGUGCCAGCAGCCGCGGUAAUACGGAGGGUGCAAGCGUUAAUCGGAAUUACUGGGCGUAAAGCGCACGCAGGCGGUCUGUCAAGUCGGAUGUGAAAUCCCCGGGCUCAACCUGGGAACUGCAUGCGAAACUGGCAGGCUAGAGUCUUGUAGAGGGGGGUAGAAUUCCAGGUGUAGCGGUGAAAUGCGUAGAGAUCUGUAGGAAUACCGGUGGCGAAGGCGGCCCCCUGGACAAAGACUGACGCUCAGGUGCGAAAGCGUGGGGAGCAAACAGG
RNAcentral lists this ribosomal RNA (429 nucleotides) under Chloroflexota bacterium. Its description in RNAcentral is "Chloroflexi bacterium partial 16S ribosomal RNA". It matches the Rfam family "Bacterial small subunit ribosomal RNA", at positions 355 to 776 of the family's 1533-position model. Lineage: Bacteria; Bacillati; Chloroflexota. The record is from RNAcentral.